Molecule: long non-coding RNA, 1046 nt
Filed under: Podarcis muralis (Common wall lizard)
Lineage: Eukaryota; Metazoa; Chordata; Lepidosauria; Squamata; Lacertidae
Description: lncRNA (ENSPMRG00000002079.1)
Source: RNAcentral
AUGUCUCGCGGCCAUCGGGAAUUCCCCGUUUCCGGCUACAGCCGGGAGGGAGGGACGGACGGAGCGGCGAGGCUGAGCGGUGGUGGGUGGGGUGGCGCUCGGAAACGAAACUAUGCGCAUCCUCCAAUAAGAAGAAGCCGAGCGGCGAGGGGGAAAGCGAAACUUUGCCGGCUUGCCUUGCCUUGCUCAGCUGCUGGUGCGUCAGAGAGGAGCGGGCUUCGCAGAAGCGGGGAAGCCUCCUUUCUGCUGAGCUGCGGGGUAGCCAUUGCGGAGUUAAGCCGAGGCUGGGGGAAAAACUUCACCCUGGAUCAGCAAUUGCAUGAAAAGGGCUUUAAAUGCCCUGAAUGUGGCAGUGCUCAGCCUGCAUCUCACAAAUUCUGCAGUGAAUGUGGGAAGAAGUUAGCUGAGGCUUCUUCUACCAGCACACAAAUUGCAGAAAACAGAGAUGCAAAACUGACUUCAGUGCUGGAGAUGGAGCCUGGGGGCGAACUGAGAGUGGAAAGCUCCCCUUCCUUGGGAUCUUCCGUUGAUAAGCAGCCACUAACUGGGGAAGCACAAGGGGAGCCAGAAAAAUCUUUAUCUGAGAGCCCUGGGAGUCAAGCCUCUCUCACACAGAAAAAAGUGAGUACAUUUGAGAACAGGUUGGGCAUAGUGCAGAGAUUUCAGAAAUACAAACUUUCGCUUCCUGCUGUCUGCUAUGGUGGAGCUGUUAAGUGUGCUUUGCUGAUGCUUCUUGAAAUGGCCACUUGGUUUAAAGUUGCUGCAUUGAUAGGCAAGCAGUUACAUUUUGCUUACAAAUGCUAAGCUCUCUGAAAGCAAGGCUAUUUUUCAACAGGCAGUAAAAGUUGAGAACGAUGUUGACUGGAAUGAGUUGAAUGAGGAUGAUAACCCUCCUUCCAGAAAAAGGAAAAAGGAGAAACCAGACCUAUAUGAGGGCAGCAGCCCAUGCUCAAGCCCGCAGCAGGUAGUUUUUCCUAUGUGCAGUGAGUAAUUAAGUAAGUGAAUUGGUCUGAAGUAUCAGUUGCCAGUCAAGUGUCUGCUGUGAA